CCACUUGAUCCAUAAGGACUGCGUGUCGUGUGCAUGUGCUUGGCACGUACUGGGCGCUCGGGAAACAGCCGCUUAGCCAAGGAAAAAGUUUGACCUUUAAAAAAAAGGCACCGGUUCCACCUAGCAUCUUGGCGACUUCCUGUUUGGAGGGAGUUUGGUGCCAACUGCGCCUGCACUGUACCGAGAGGAAAUCUGUCUUGCAGCGAAGGAGGGGGGCGUCCACCCCCGCCCGCAUGACCCCACUCCGAACUUUUGCGCACGUGGUACGUGUGAAAGAUGUGUUUGCCAGAAAUAUGAUUACUUCUUGGUUCCUGUUGUACACCGGGACAGGUUCGAGAUGGUUCACCCGAUGUCUGCUAAAAACGUGUGGCGUCUGGAGAGGUGGGAGCUCCGGAGCUGGAGAAGGAAGGAGAAUAAGAGAACCCUCCUGGAAACUUUGCUGGGUUACGCUUUGGAAAACGUGGCUUAUACUAAUGGCCCAACCUAUGUGCGUUUGUAGCAAGGUGAGAUAAACUAAUUAACUCAAUUCCAGUCAUUGAGAUAGUACUGGUGGCACGUUCAUUUUACUGUGUGCUGUAACUGGGUGGUAGUUAAGGACAUCAGCUUUGGAGUGAGAAAGCGUGUGCUCGAUUCCUG
Long non-coding RNA from Orcinus orca (killer whale), 636 nucleotides. RefSeq lists it as uncharacterized. The record is from RefSeq and is a predicted model, not a curated record. The transcript is spliced from 3 exons. Lineage: Eukaryota; Metazoa; Chordata; Mammalia; Artiodactyla; Delphinidae.